RNAcentral lists this ribosomal RNA (453 nucleotides) under uncultured bacterium. RNAcentral's name for it is "partial 16S ribosomal RNA". It matches the Rfam family "Bacterial small subunit ribosomal RNA", at positions 29 to 523 of the family's 1533-position model. The record is from RNAcentral.
AACGAACGCUGGCGGCAGGUCUUAGGCAUGCGAGUCGAACGGGUGUAGCAAGACAUCAGUGGCGCACGAGUGAGUAACGCGGGGGAAUUUGCCCAUCGGUGGGGAAUAACGUUUGGAAACGAACGCCAAUACCGCAUACGUCGAGAAAUCGAGAAAGAUUUAUCGCCGAUGGAUAAGCCCGCGUUGGAUUAGCUUGUUGGUAGGGUAAUGGCCUACCAAGGCGAUGAUCCAUAGCUGGUCUGAGAGGACGAUCAGCCACGCUGGAACUGAGACACGGCCCAGAAUCGUACGGGGGGAGGCAGCGAAGAAUAUUGGACAAUGGAGGAAAAGCUGAUCCAGCCAUGCCGCGUAAGUGAAGAAGGCCUUCGGGUUGUAAAGCUCUUUUAGUCGUGAGGUUGAUGACGUUAGCGACAGAAAAAGCACCGGCUAACUGCGAGCCAGCAGCCGCCGUAA